RNAcentral lists this ribosomal RNA (425 nucleotides) under uncultured bacterium. RNAcentral's name for it is "partial 16S ribosomal RNA". It matches the Rfam family "Bacterial small subunit ribosomal RNA", at positions 354 to 796 of the family's 1533-position model. The record is from RNAcentral.
GUGGGGAAUAUUGGGCAAUGGGGGAAACCCUGACCCAGCAACGCCGCGUGAAGGAAGAAGGUUUUCGGAUCGUAAACUUCUAUCCUUGGUGAAGAUAAUGACGGUAGCCAAGAAGGAAGCCCCGGCUAACUACGUGCCAGCAGCCGCGGUAAUACGUAGGGGGCAAGCGUUGUCCGGAAUGAUUGGGCGUAAAGGGCGCGUAGGCGGCCUGGUAAGUCUGGAGUGAAAGUCCUGCUUUUAAGGUGGGAAUUGCUUUGGAUACUGUCGGGCUUGAGUGCAGGAGAGGUAAGCGGAAUUCCCGGUGUAGCGGUGAAAUGCGUAGAGAUCGGGAGGAACACCAGUGGCGAAGGCGGCUUACUGGACUGUAACUGACGCUGAGACGCGAAAGCGUGGGGAGCAAACAGGAUUAGAAACCCCUGUAGUCC